Molecule: small nuclear RNA, 107 nt
Organism: Suncus etruscus (white-toothed pygmy shrew)
Lineage: Eukaryota; Metazoa; Chordata; Mammalia; Eulipotyphla; Soricidae
Source: RefSeq, a predicted model, not a curated record
GUGCUCGCUUCAGCAGCACAUAUACCAAAAUUGGAAUGAUAUAGAGAAGAUUAGCAUGGGCUCUGUGCAAGGAUGACAUGCAAAUUCGUGAAGUGUUCCAUAAAAAA